RNAcentral lists this ribosomal RNA (468 nucleotides) under uncultured bacterium. RNAcentral's name for it is "partial 16S ribosomal RNA". It matches the Rfam family "Bacterial small subunit ribosomal RNA", at positions 28 to 507 of the family's 1533-position model. The record is from RNAcentral.
GACGAACGCUGGCGGCGUGCUUAACACAUGCAAGUCGAACGGAAAGGCCCUGCUUUUGUGGGGUGCUCGAGUGGUGAACGGGUGAGUAACACUUGGGUAACCUGCCCUUGACUUUGGGAUAACUUCAUGAAACUGGGGCUAAUACCGGAUAGGAGCUCCUGCUUCUUGGUGGGGGUGGGAAAGUUUCGGCGGUUGGGGAUGGACUCGCGGCUUAUCAGCUUGUUGGUUGGGUAGUGGCUGACCAAGACAUUGCCCGGUAGCCGUGCUGGGCGGGUGAGCGGACACAUUGGGAUUGAGAUACGGCACAGACUACACCGGGACGCAGCGGAGCAGAAGAUAGUACAAUGGGAGGAAGCAUGAUGUAGUAACGCCACGUGCGGGAUGACGGCAUGGGGGUAGGAAAGUGCUGUCGUUUGUGACGAAGUGUUAGUGACGGUAAUGGGUAAAGAAGCACCGGCUAACUACGUG